Molecule: ribosomal RNA, 283 nt
Filed under: uncultured bacterium
Lineage: Bacteria
Description: partial 16S ribosomal RNA
Rfam family: Bacterial small subunit ribosomal RNA
Source: RNAcentral
GUGGAUUAGAUACCCUGGUAGUCCACGCCCUAAACGAUGAACACUCGAUGUUAGCGAUAUACAGUUAGCGUCUAAGCGAAAGCGUUAAGUGUUCCACCUGGGGAGUACGCCCGCAAGGGUGAAACUCAAAGGAAUUGACGGGGGCCCGCACAAGCGGAGGAGCAUGUGGUUUAAUUCGAUGAUACGCGAGGAACCUUACCCGGGCUUGAAAGUUACUGAAUGAUCCAGAGACGGAUCAGUCCUUCGGGACAGGAAACUAGGUGCUGCACGGCCGUCGACAACU